UUUUUGUAAAUAAUAUAUAAGUUAAUCUCGUAUUUAAAUUAGAUUACGAUAAUAUAAAAAUAUAUUCUAUUGAUAUUAUUAAUAUAAAACAUGAUUAAAAGUUUGUAUCUAGCAGGAUUUCUGUAUACUCUAACCCUUAUUUUCAACUUCCUAAUUCAUGGAUCCAAAGAAUGUCCCCUAUUUGAUUCAAGAAACCCUAAAAUGAAUGCUCAAAUACGUUAUGUAAAUGAACAUGGUCGAGCUAUCUUCUGCCAUGACUUUUGCACCUCAGAUGAAUAUCUCUGCUGUUAUUGCUAACCCCUAACAGCUAACUCUACAGAUAAUAGCUUAUUUUAUUAUACAAGACUUAUAAUAUUUAUUAUGCGAAAAUAAAGUUGGGGAUUUAUCAAGACAAGGAAAUCCUGAAAUUGGCAUAUUACCUUAUCUCAUUGCUUGAUAUUAAUGACUAAAAUUUCAAGGUAAUACAAGUAUUCAAUGAUUAUUUUUUUUUCUCCAUGAUUUUUAACAAGAUUAUCCCAAUAUGAUUUAAAAAGUAAACCAGAACAAAAAAUAGAAAAAUAAAGCGUGCGUAUUGAAGGUCUGCAAUGCUCCUCAGCAUGUGCCGGGUUGGGCAAACAGAGUAACUAACUAGGCCUAUUAAAAACAAUAAUUGACUGGAUUAUUGAUAAUUUCCGAUAUUUGAUAGAAGUGGUAAUCCAUGUUUUAUUAAUUUUAACCCCUUUCUCAAUAUUAUAAAUAGUUGUUUAUUUCGGUGUUUAACUAUAUAUUUCGGGUGGGGCCUUGUAUUUACUAAAAUUGUACCGAGUUUGGGAACCAUAGUACAAAAUUAGAAAUGGUCAGGACCGGGGCAUGUAAAAAUUUGGCCUGGCCGGGCAUAAGCUAAGUUAAAACUGGGCUUAACCUGAAAAUUUUGCCAUUUGUAUAUAUCUGGUAUGCAAUGUUAGCGUCUGAAAUAUAUAUAUUCUAAUUUUUAAUAGGCUAUACACUUAAAUGAUAUCUGCGGAUUUUCAUUUCUUAAAAAAAAACCGAAUUAUUUUGGUUGAAGGUGCCAAAGGUCAUACAAAAUAUUAAUUAAAAAAAAAUAUUAUUUUAACUGUGUUUUUAUAUAAAAAAAAUUUAUUUGAAUA
Molecule: long non-coding RNA, 1127 nt
Organism: Gordionus sp. m RMFG-2023
Lineage: Eukaryota; Metazoa; Nematomorpha; Gordioida; Chordodea; Parachordodidae
Exons: 4
Source: RefSeq, a predicted model, not a curated record